GGCUUACACAUGCAAGUCGAGGGGUAACAGGAGUAGCUUGCUAUUUGCUGACGACCGGCGCACGGGUGCGUAACGCGUAUACAAUCUACCUUUUACAGAGGGAUAGCCCAGAGAAAUUUGGAUUAAUACCUCAUAGUAUUAUAAAGUGGCAUCAUUUAAUAAUUAAAACUUCGGUGGUAAAAGAUGAGUAUGCGUUCUAUUAGCUAGAUGGUAAGGUAACGGCUUACCAUGGCAACGAUAGAUAGGGGUCCUGAGAGGGAGAUCCCCCACACUGGUACUGAGACACGGACCAGACUCCUACGGGAGGCAGCAGUGAGGAAUAUUGGACAAUGGAGGUAACUCUGAUCCAGCCAUGCCGCGUGCAGGAAGACGGCCCUAUGGGUUGUAAACUGCUUUUAUAUAGGAAGAAACCGUUCCACGUGUGGAACUCUGACGGUACUAUAUGAAUAAGCACCGGCUAACUCCGUGCCAGCAGCCGCGGUAAUACGGAGGGUGCAAGCGUUAUCCGGAAUCAUUGGGUUUAAAGGGUCCGUAGGCGGACUAAUAAGUCAGGGGUGAAAUACCACAGCUCAACUGUGGAACUGCCUUUGAUACUGUUAGUCUUGAAUUAUAUGGAAGUAGAUAGAAUGUGUAGUGUAGCGGUGAAAUGCUUAGAGAUUACACAGAAUACCGAUUGCGAAGGCAGUCUACUACGUAUAUAUUGACGCUAAUGGACGAAAGCGUGGGGAGCGAACAGGAUUAGAUACCCUGGUAGUCCACGCCGUAAACGAUGGACACUAGUUGUUGGAUUUAUUCAGUGACUAAGCGAAAGUGAUAAGUGUCCCACCUGGGGAGUACGAUCGCAAGAUUGAAACUCAAAGGAAUUGACGGGGGCCCGCACAAGCGGUGGAGCAUGUGGUU
RNAcentral lists this ribosomal RNA (900 nucleotides) under Flavobacteriaceae bacterium S-2-13. Its description in RNAcentral is "bacterial SSU rRNA". It matches the Rfam family "Bacterial small subunit ribosomal RNA", at positions 45 to 946 of the family's 1533-position model. The record is from RNAcentral. Lineage: Bacteria; Pseudomonadati; Bacteroidota; Flavobacteriia; Flavobacteriales; Flavobacteriaceae.